GACGAACGCUGGCGGCGUGCUUAACACAUGCAAGUCGUACGGUAAGGCCCUUUCGGGGGUACACGAGUGGCGAACGGGUGAGUAACACGUGAGUAACCUGCCCACAACUUUGGGAUAACGCUAGGAAACUGGUGCUAAUACUGGAUAUGUGCUCCUGCUGCAUGGUGGGGGUUGGAAAGCUCCGGCGGUUGUGGAUGGACUCGCGGGCUAUCAGCUUGUUGGUGGGGUAGUGGCCUACCAAGGCGGCGACGGGUAGCCGGCCUGAGAGGGUGACCGGCCACAUUGGGACUGAGAUACGGCCCAGACUCCUACGGGAGGCAGCAGUGGGGAAUAUUGCACAAUGGGCGCAAGCCUGAUGCAGCAACGCCGCGUGCGGGAUGACGGCCUUCGGGUUGUAAACCGCUUUCAGCAGGGACGAAGCUUUUUGUGACGGUACCUGCAGAAGAAGCACCGGCUAACUACGUG
Molecule: ribosomal RNA, 465 nt
Filed under: uncultured bacterium
Lineage: Bacteria
Description: partial 16S ribosomal RNA
Rfam family: Bacterial small subunit ribosomal RNA
Source: RNAcentral